RNAcentral lists this transfer RNA (55 nucleotides) under Diatrichalus sp. BM0070. Its description in RNAcentral is "partial tRNA-Ser". Lineage: Eukaryota; Metazoa; Arthropoda; Insecta; Coleoptera; Lycidae. The record is from RNAcentral.
AAAAACAAUUUAAUGCUUUAUAAAAAGUUAGAAGCUUUUAUUAAGUUAUUUCUUU